UUAACACUACUAAUAAUAGCAAGUAUUAUAUUUUUUGCAAUCAAACUUAUAGCAAAAUGUGUUAGUUCUGUUGUUGUUUCAGGGUUAGCAUUAUCUGGGGUCCUCUGAGAGUCAGCAUCAUCUCUUCUCAGGUGUUCUGGAUCCAGACUGGAGCUUGUAUAAAUCCUAGUCACGGCAAAAGAAAAAAAAAAAAAAGAAAGAAACAAAUACAGACAUAAUUAGUGUAGCUGCUGUUCCAACCAAUCAAAAUUGAUUUGUUUAACCCAAGCUAAGAAAAAAAGAAUGUGCAUUUGAUCAGAUAUAACUGCAGUGCAAGAUUAUGAGAUGCAGUAUUUAAAUGCUUAGCCAAAGAGAUGUGUUUUAAUCUAGAUUUAACCAGAGAGAGUGUAUCUCCUUUAGUGGACUUCGUUAUCCUAGGAACUACCAAAAGUCCAGCGUAUUGUGACCUUAGAGAGCGUGAUGGGUUGUAGCGUGGUAGAAGGCUAGUUAGGUACGCAGGAGCUAAACCAUUUAGGGCCUUACAGGUAAGUUAUAAUAUUUUGUAACUGAUAUGGAACUUAAUAGGUAGCCAGUGCAGAGACUGUAAAAUUGUGGUAAUAUGAUCAUAUUUUCUUGACCUGGUAAGGACUCUAGCCGCUGCAUUUUGGACUACCUGUAGCUUGUUUAUUGAAGAUGCAAGACAAUCACCUUUCGUAGCUUGGCAAUGUUUCUAAGAUGGAAGAAAUAUUGUUUUUGUAAAAUGGGAGGUAUGAUUUUAAAAAGACAAUUUGCUGUCUAAUAUAACACCCAGAUUUAUGACUGUAGAGGGAGUAACAGUAUCAGUCUAGUUGUAAAUUAUAAUCCAAUAAAUUCUGUGUACUUUAUUUUGUUCCAAUUAGUAAUAUCUCUUUCUUAUCCAAAUUUAAUAGGAGAAUAUUAUUGUUCAACCAAUAUUUUAUAUUAACACAUUCUGUUGGCUUAGAUAAUUUAGAAGUUUCAUCUGGUCUCGUUGAGAUAUAGCUGAGUAUCAUCAGCAUACAAGUGGAAACUAAUUCCGUAUUUUCCAAUAAUAUUACCAAGGGCAACAUAUAUAUUGAAAAUAGCAGAGGACCUAGGACAGAUCCUUGUGGCACUCCAUACUUUAUUAUUGAUAAUUGAGAUCACUCUCCAUUUAAAUAAACAAAGUGUUAGCGAUCGGACAGGUAGGUAAGCCCUUGAAUUCCCUUAUAUAAUUGCACUUUUUUUAUAUAGUCCAAUUAUUAACCUUACAAAUUUGGACAUGAUAACCUGUGGUUCAGUUAGAGAGAGUCAUCUGAGCUGAUUCAGUGAGGAAGUGAUUCAGGAAUUCUGAAUUGGUCAGUAUUAUUUGUGGCACCCUUUCUUUUUUCCAGUUAUUUAUUUUACCUCUAUAAAAGUUAUCAGUGGUAAAUCAUAUUAUAUUAUAGAUGAGUUAAUAUCAUGUUGAGGUUUAAUGGAAGGUCAGAUAGAUAUCCAGGUGUGAGUGCACAUAUUGCCUGUACUGAUUUGGCAUCACAACAUGUCUUGUUAUUUAUUCACAGAGCAGUUUAAUAAGCAUUCACACUGUGCCUCUGUAAUUGUUCACAUUUUAUGAAGGUCUUGGCCAGUUAUUCUGGUUUUGAUGUUUUCUGUAUCCUGGCAACAUCAGCAAAGUCCUGUUUCUCACAGAAAUAGAUUUAAUUUAUCAUCAGCUGUUCAAAUCCAUUUUUUAUGGUUUAAUUCAGGCAAGUCAAAAUCAGAUUAGCUAGACUUGUUUGUUUGCAUCUGGCUUAUUUUAAAGAAUCUUUAUGAAUCUUUUUUUUACAUUUAUAUGUUUAUGUAUAAUCUGUCCUUUUUCCUCUUUAUCACCUCACCAUGUCUGAACAGGCAUAGUUUCUGAACACCAAGCAGCAUCUAUGCUGUGUAUAUGCAUUUAGUCAUUUUAUAAUACAUUCAUUUGUCUGAAAGAACUUGCAAAAAGAACUUGGAUUUUGCAUCUUAGUUCCAAUAAAUUCACUUCAAAGUUACAGUAUGUUUCCAUAGUACAGUUAACAUUUACCCCAAAAGAUGAAAGUAAAUUUGAUUCCUCACGAAAUAAGCACUUUAUGUCUUGUGCUCUGUCAGAUCGCAUGAAUAAACCACUGAACCUCUGAGACAGAAGUACAGCGUCGUAUUCAUUUUAAGCGAGUACUGAGGGUUUGUGCACCUGUGAAGAGAAAGAACUCUGUCCCAGAGGAUCUGAUGGGAAAUGAGAGCCUCCAACAGAAGUAAAAUGACGUCAUUUUUGAACAGUGUCAGAAGUAAUCUGCUCUAAUGAUUUAUCUUAUGAAGAUGGGCAGAACACACAUGAACAUAUCUCAUACCGUCACCAGAGCAGAAUAAAGACGAGAGGCUUUGUGGAGUCUAUAUGGAUUUGUUUUAGUAACAAUGCCCUGUAAAAUGAUAAUUCUGUACUUUAAACUUCAUGACUACAUAACUACAUGUCUGUAAACUACAUGAAAUCAGUCAAAACAGACAAUAUUUGUGUUUGUAUUGCAUGUUUCUUGUCUUUGUGCAUGCAUUGGUGCAUGUUUUUCCAAAUCCAGUCCAAUCAAAUCAGUCCAGUUAAAUUUAUUCUUCCUGAUUUUUUUCCUAAUUUCACAUCCUGUUAAUGACAGAAAUGCAUCGUAUUGUGAUUUUAAAAUGGGUUUAAACUGCACUUUGUUUUAAGCUCUGUACUACUUAUUAACACUAAUGUUGUAUAAAAAUAAAAUGGCAACGUUUGGUGUCAAUACAUUUUUUUUAAACACUUUUAUUAAGUAAAGACACAUUAAACACCACUGUGUUCAAAACAAGUUCUAUCUUCCUCACUGAGCCCUCUGUUCCUCUUCUGUUGUAUAAUGAUGACUGUGAAAUGGUUAAUCCACUAGGCUCUAAGACCUCAAUCCACAAAUUGGGAUUCAUCUAUUUCACUCUUAAAUGUCUUCCCCCAGAGUGCCUUUCAAGUCUUGAUUCUCACUUUCUUUUGGCAGUGUAUAAGGCAGAUGAUGCCAAAACGUAUGGUAUAGAUGCUGUCCUGAAGUCAGUUGUUGAUGAUAUCAAUGAUUUGGAAACAAAUGGUGUGGAAGUAGACACGGCUCACUUCAAAGGCACAUUGAAGGUUUGGGUUGCCCAAAUUUGUGGGGAUAAUUUGGGGCUAAAUUCAAUCCUUGGCUAUACAGAGAGCUUCUCUGGAAAUAGUGUUUGUCGCUGGUGCCACGUGAAGAAACUUGUCAUGAGAACACAAACAAUGGAAGAUCCGUCACUGCUUAGGGAUAAGGAUGGCCAUCUUUCAGAUCUGGUGCAAAGUAAUCCAACAGAAACUGGCUUAAAAAGACAGAGCGUUUUGAACAACUUGAAAUACUUCCAUGUGACAGAAAAUGUAGCACCAGAUAUUAUGCAUGAUAUCCUUGAAGGAGUAGGUGCAUAUGAAGUUAAAUUGGUAUUAGGCUCUCUCAUCUCUCAGAAGGUAAUAACCUUAGACCAGGUUAAUUACCGAAUCACAAGCUACGAUUAUGGCUUCUGUGAGUCUUCCAACAAGCCAUCCACAAUCCGACCUCAAGAAAUAAAAACACCAGACAGUUCGAUGAAGCAGACAGCAGCACAAAUGUGGUGCCUGUUAAGGCUUCUUCCUUUGAUGAUAGGAGAUCUAAUUCCAGAGGGAAACAAAUACUGGGAGCUCUUGCUGCUUUUGUUGACCUGUAUGGAAUAUAUUUUUUCUCCAUCCUUAACAGAAGAUGCAGUAUUAUUUCUCAGACAUCUUCUUCAUGAGCAUCACAGCCUUUUCCUGGAACUCUUCCCUGAUAGACAUCUAAAGCCAAAACAUCAUUUCAUGCUGCAUUAUCCAGGUGCCAUAAGGAGACUGGGCCCUCUGAUGCACUACUGGUCCAUGCGCUUUGAGGCCAAGCAUGGUUUUUUUAAAAGGCUUGCCCAUGUCACAUGUAACUUCAGAAACAUUUGCAAAACAAUGGCCUUCAGGCAUCAAAUGUUUUUGUGUUACAGUCUUUUGUCUGAUCACCUAUUUGCACAUCACAAAGAACUUGGUCCUGGUUGCACUACUCCACUUGCUUCCAUUGAGGGAUUUGAUCAAGUCUGCCACAGAUUUGAACAUACUCCAUCAUUGACUGAAGUGUAUAUACCCUCUUGGGUGAAGUGGAAAGGGACAGAAUAUCGUCCAGGAAUGACCCUCCUUGUGUCUCAUUCUCCAGAUGGUGAACCUCAGUUCGGAACAAUUCAGAAGAUUGUGGUUUUUGAGUCUGUCAUCAAUUUCAUUGUUAGGAAAUGGGACACAGUAGGAUUUGAAAGACACUAUUUUGCAUGCUGCGUAAUUCCCACUACUGUCAUUGACUCUAUUGAUGUUGACUCCAUUGAUGAUUACCAUCCUCUCCAUGUAGUGAGGUCAUACAAGGAAGGGGACAGCAACCACUAUGUGUCCAUGCGCUACCGGCUGUUUUAAAUGUCCCCUUUUUCAACUUGAAAUUCCAAGGACAAUUUUUUUUUGGACCGUUUACACACCUGUACAGACUUUUUGGAGAUGCAACCAUUUUUUCCCCUAGAAAGCUAUCUUUAAUUCACCGUAUUUGUGUUUUACAAUGUUUUGCGUAAGUAUAUGUAGAAUAUAUUAUAACACUACACUAUUUUAGCUAAUUUAAGCUAGCAUUGAAGCACUGUUGUGUGUAGAAUAAACAUCAAUAUAAAAAAUGCAUGUCAUAAUUUGUAGCUUUAUAUUUGUUACAAGAAAUGAAACCAUGUCCAUGUAGGUAACCCUUUUUCCAUGUACUUUUAUAGGAGCCACAACCAGAACAGAUCCAAAGUGGAUCAGCUUCCAAAACCUCCUGUGGACCAACAAUGUGAAGCAGAAAUUCAGAUGUCAGUGGAGGAAGUGCCAACAUUUAAUAUUUCUGAGGUCCUAAUGAGCAGUGUCGAAGGCAAGGACGUAUUGGCCAGUCUUGAGAAGAACACUUUAUCCUUAAAUCAGCGAAGAUGCAUGGUCAGGAUACUAGUUUCACACCUUAUGAAUCGCUUUGGAGAAAACCCAUCCUCUGAGCAAAAGAUGUGUUUGGCUGUUUCUCUGGUUGAGCAAUAUCCCUGUCUUAAGGACUCCCAGGGUAAAGGCUAUGAAGCAUGGUUCAGCCCUGGACGAAGCCAUCGUCCAGCUACUGGAUUUCUGGAGGAACGCUUGCGAAAUGUCAGGAAGAGAACCCGUCGUGAAAACUGCACAAGCCGUGAGAAAGAGGAUUCUCAAGCCAUAAGCAGCACCUUGGUUAUACCAGAGCCAAGUAUUUCACCUGACAGAGCAGUACAACUUGCAGAAUGGCUUAAAAAUAAUAUGUGGCCAGCUAACCAAGUUGCAGAUUACAUGAAAGAAACAGCCAUCCACAGGGCUCAGUGGAUAAGAGCUAACGGGACAAAAUCUAUCGAGGAAAUAACUUGUGAAUUCCCUCGACUCCUUGAUACGCCAGGCAUGAUUUCACAAGACUUCUCUGUAUUAUUCCCCGACCAUGCAGAGAGACUUUUCCAAACUUGGAAAAUGAGUUUCAAAGACAAAAUCCUUUGCUUUGCCAGCCAGGAGAAAAAGGCGCAGGAGCUUCUCCAGAAUUUAGACAGUUUGUCUCCAGAAGUCCAAAGUGACGUUGCACUCAGGCUGCUUCCUGUAAUACUGCCCACCCCUGUCUACAAAAAAGGGAUGAAAAUGUUCAAACCAAGCUUGGAAGAAAAUAUCAAGUCUUUCAUUGAAUUCAAGCAUGUUGGGACCAACAUGGUUGAAUAUUUGAAGGAGGCAGAGCUCACUAAACCCUUCCCCUUUGUCCUUGGUCUUGGGGAGGACAGUCAAUGCCAUCAAGCCUUUGUAGUUGUUGGCAAACAGGCACUGCAUCAAAACACACUCCUUGGUGCUGUGGACACAUGCUUUAAACUUUUUUAUGUUUUAGACAUCCAUUUCCCGAAGCAGUGUGCACCAGUGUGGGAGUUUUUGCAGACUGUUGUCUACAAACUCCCAGGAACUGAAUCUCCUUCUGUAAGACUGCUCCGUGGAUAUUUGUCAUGUUGAGCAGUACUGGAACCAUGACAACUAACCCUUUCUAAAAUGUUAUGCAAGUUUAUAUUAAGAGGAAAGUUGUCAGACUAAUACAUAUAUCUAAAGCAUUUUACUUGUAUCACUUUGUUCGUGUGCCUCUUUGUUAAACAUACUCUCUAAAAAGUUAUGAGUUUAUAUUAAGGGGAAAGUCAUCUAACUAAUAUAUAUGAAGCAUUGUACUUGUGUCUUAUACUUGUGUAUAUAAUGUAAAUGUUUAAAUCUAAGCUAAUUUAAUUUAUUGAUAUUUAUUUUUUUAUAUUUAUAAAAUGGAAGUUGUAUUUAUAUUUUAUAUGCUGUUUUAUUGUUCAUUGAGCAUGAAAAAAUAUCAUGCUUUUUUGCUAUAUGAAUUAUAUAUGCUUUUAUGUCUUGCAUUUGGAUGUUCUUUAUUAAUAAAUCUUCACCUUUUGA
This is an RNA transcript of Carassius gibelio (silver crucian carp), 6478 nucleotides long. RefSeq lists it as uncharacterized. The transcript has 8 exons. The record is from RefSeq and is a predicted model, not a curated record. NCBI's taxonomy places the organism in Eukaryota, Metazoa, Chordata, Actinopteri, Cypriniformes, Cyprinidae.